GUGCCUGUUGCGGCUAGCAGACGUUGCGUCCCGCCGCGCGAGGAGAGAGACAGAGCGAUACGGCACCGAGGCAGUGCGACGGAGAGCGAGCACAGUCGCCCGAAAGACGCGCGCGCUCGCGUUUCGUGUGCUUUUCACAAGUUUCUGUUGUUUUCCUCGACUUGUGUGCGUGUGAGCGGACGUGAGAGAGUGUGAGUGCGUGUGGAUAAGCUACAACUUUGGUGGCUGUGAUUGUGUGGACAUCGUUCAGGAACUUUUUGGAUUACGCAUCUUCCCAGACUACCGACAGAUGACAUGACGCCGCCUAACGAGUCGCAGCAGCAGCGUCACUGAGAGGCCUGAGGGGCCCGACGGCCUGAGGGCCGCUACCCGGCGUGGUGGCGGCGCGCGGCGCGGUGGC
Molecule: unclassified non-coding RNA, 400 nt
Filed under: Thrips palmi
Lineage: Eukaryota; Metazoa; Arthropoda; Insecta; Thysanoptera; Thripidae
Description: gastrula zinc finger protein XlCGF26.1-like, transcript variant X3
Source: RNAcentral